Molecule: ribosomal RNA, 481 nt
Filed under: uncultured bacterium
Lineage: Bacteria
Description: partial 16S ribosomal RNA
Rfam family: Bacterial small subunit ribosomal RNA
Source: RNAcentral
GAUGAACGCUGGCGGCGUGCUUAACACAUGCAAGUCGAACGAAGCACUUUAUUUGAUUUCCUUCGGGACUGAUUAUUUUGUGACUGAGUGGCGGACGGGUGAGUAACGCGUGGGUAACCUGCCUUGUACAGGGGGAUAACAGUUGGAAACGGCUGCUAAUACCGCAUAAGCGCACAGCAUCGCAUGAUGCAGUGUGAAAAACUCCGGUGGUAUAAGAAGGACCCGCGUUGGAUUAGCUAGUUGGUGAGGUAACGGCCCACCAAGGCGACGAUCCAUAGCCGACCUGAGAGGGUGACCGGCCACAUUGGGACUGAGACACGGCCCAAACUCCUACGGGAGGCAGCAGUGGGGAAUAUUGCACAAUGGGCGAAAGCCUGAUGCAGCGACGCCGCGUGAGCGAAGAAGUAUUUCGGUAUGUAAAGCUCUAUCAGCAGGGAAGAUAAUGACGGUACCUGACUAAGAAGCACCGGCUAAAUACGUG